UGCCUAGGAAUCUGCCUGGUAGUGGGGGACAACGUUUCGAAAGGAACGCUAAUACCGCAUACGUCCUACGGGAGAAAGUGGGGGAUCUUCGGACCUCACGCUAUCAGAUGAGCCUAGGUCGGAUUAGCUAGUUGGUGAGGUAAAGGCUCACCAAGGCGACGAUCCGUAACUGGUCUGAGAGGAUGAUCAGUCACACUGGAACUGAGACACGGUCCAGACUCCUACGGGAGGCAGCAGUGGGGAAUAUUGGACAAUGGGCGAAAGCCUGAUCCAGCCAUGCCGCGUGUGUGAAGAAGGUCUUCGGAUUGUAAAGCACUUUAAGUUGGGAGGAAGGGCAGUAAGCUAAUACCUUGCUGUUUUGACGUUACCGACAGAAUAAGCACCGGCUAACUUCGUGCCAGCAGCCGCGGUAAUACGAAGGGUGCAAGCGUUAAUCGGAAUUACUGGGCGUAAAGCGCGCGUAGGUGGUU
This 470-nucleotide ribosomal RNA is filed under the name Stutzerimonas stutzeri. Its description in RNAcentral is "bacterial SSU rRNA". It matches the Rfam family "Bacterial small subunit ribosomal RNA", at positions 114 to 580 of the family's 1533-position model. Lineage: Bacteria; Pseudomonadati; Pseudomonadota; Gammaproteobacteria; Pseudomonadales; Pseudomonadaceae. The record is from RNAcentral.